CCUACGGGAGGCAGCAGUGGGGAAUUUUGGACAAUGGGCGCAAGCCUGAUCCAGCCAUGCCGCGUGCGGGAAGAAGGCCUUCGGGUUGUAAACCGCUUUUGUCAGGGAAGAAACGCUUCGAGCUAAUACCUUGGAGUAAUGACGGUACCUGAAGAAUAAGCACCGGCUAACUACGUGCCAGCAGCCGCGGUAAUACGUAGGGUGCAAGCGUUAAUCGGAAUUACUGGGCGUAAAGCGUGCGCAGGCGGUUGUGCAAGACAGAUGUGAAAUCCCCGGGCUUAACCUGGGAACUGCAUUUGUGACUGCACGGCUGGAGUGCGGCAGAGGGGGAUGGAAUUCCGCGUGUAGCAGUGAAAUGCGUAGAUAUGCGGAGGAACACCGAUGGCGAAGGCAAUCCCCUGGGCCUGCACUGACGCUCAUGCACGAAAGCGUGGGGAGCAAACAGGAUUAGAUACCCUGGUAGUCCACGCCCUAAACUAUGUCAACUGGUUGUUGGGAAGGUUCCUUCUCAGUAACGUAGCUAACGCGUGAAGUUGACCGCCUGGGGAGUACGGCCGCAAGGUUGAAAACUCAAAAGGAAUUGACG
Molecule: ribosomal RNA, 586 nt
Filed under: uncultured bacterium
Lineage: Bacteria
Description: bacterial SSU rRNA
Rfam family: Bacterial small subunit ribosomal RNA
Source: RNAcentral